This 61-nucleotide transfer RNA is filed under the name Clostridium cuniculi. It matches the Rfam family "tRNA", at positions 7 to 64 of the family's 71-position model. From Rfam's summary of the family: Transfer RNA (tRNA) molecules are approximately 80 nucleotides in length. Their secondary structure includes four short double-helical elements and three loops (D, anti-codon, and T loops). Lineage: Bacteria; Bacillati; Bacillota; Clostridia; Eubacteriales; Clostridiaceae. The record is from RNAcentral. RNAcentral also lists the same sequence under 1 other name.
CUUGGCUCAAUUGGCAGAGCAGCUGACUUGUAAUCAGCAGGUUGUGGGUUCGAGUCCCACA